This 688-nucleotide non-coding RNA is filed under the name Aphelenchus avenae. The record is from RNAcentral. Lineage: Eukaryota; Metazoa; Nematoda; Chromadorea; Rhabditida; Aphelenchidae.
UAAAUUUGAUUAUGGUUUUUUUGGAGUUUAAAUGGUAUUAUUUAAUUUUAAUUUACUUAUUGGUCAAUAAAAAUUAAACCAGGCAAGUUUUUGUAUUGUAUAAUUUUAGUUCCAGAAUAAUCGGCUAUACUAAUAAUAACUUUAACUUUAAAUGAGGUGUUAUUAAAUUUAUAAAAAUUGUUUUUUAAUUUAAAUUGGUAAAAUAUUUUAAAUAAAAAAAUUUUUAUUUAAUUAAAAAGACUAAAAAUUUAAAGUGGAUUAGUACCCAUGUAAUUUAGAAUUUAAAAAAUCAGGAGUAAAGUAGUGUUUAAACUGAAAAAAUAUUGGGAGUAAUUAAAAUAACUAGUGGAACUUGGAAUUUAAUUGGAGAUUCCUCCUUUCUAGCUUUAUUUUUAUGUACGUGUAUGUUUAUUUAUUUAAUUACUAAAAAUUAUAAGGAAAAUAAUAUUUAAAAAAAUAGAUAAAUACCUGGCUUAUAAUAAAGUUUAAUUCUGAGUUACAUUAAAGAAUUUUGUGGUUUAAAAACUUAAGGUUUUUAUUAAAAUGUAAUUAGCAGUAAAAAAAUUUUUAUAUUUUUUUGAAGUUUAAUUUUUUAAUUAGGUACAAACCAUCCAUCAAUUGCCCACAGGGGAGUAAGUUGUAGUAAGGUAAAUUUAAGGGAACUUGAAUUUAGAAAAUAAAUAGUUUA